This 450-nucleotide ribosomal RNA is filed under the name uncultured bacterium. Its description in RNAcentral is "partial 16S ribosomal RNA". It matches the Rfam family "Bacterial small subunit ribosomal RNA", at positions 354 to 796 of the family's 1533-position model. The record is from RNAcentral.
GUGGGGAAUUUUGGACAAUGGGCGCAAGCCUGAUCCAGCAAUGCCGCGUGCAGGAAGAAGGCCUUCGGGUUGUAAACUGCUUUUGUACGGAACGAAACGGUCCUGGUUAAUACCUGGGGCUAAUGACGGUACCGUAAGAAUAAGCACCGGCUAACUACGUGCCAGCAGCCGCGGUAAUACGUAGGGUGCGAGCGUUAAUCGGAAUUACUGGGCGUAAAGCGUGCGCAGGCGGUGCUGUAAGACAGGCGUGAAAUCCCCGGGCUCAACCUGGGAAUGGCGCUUGUGAAUGCAGUGCUGGAGUGCGGCAGAGGGGGAUGGAAUUCCGCGUGUAGCAGUGAAAUGCGUAGAUAUGCGGAGGAACACCGAUGGCGAAGGCAAUCCCCUGGGCCUGCACUGACGCUCAUGCACGAAAGCGUGGGGAGCAAACAGGAUUAGAAACCCGAGUAGUCC